This 460-nucleotide ribosomal RNA is filed under the name uncultured bacterium. RNAcentral's name for it is "partial 16S ribosomal RNA". It matches the Rfam family "Bacterial small subunit ribosomal RNA", at positions 338 to 795 of the family's 1533-position model. The record is from RNAcentral.
CCUACGGGUGGCAGCAGUGAGGAAUAUUGGUCAAUGGACGCAAGUCUGAACCAGCCAUGCCGCGUGCAGGAAGACGGCUCUAUGAGUUGUAAACUGCUUUUGUACGAGGGUAAACGCAGACACGCGUAUCUCUCUGAAAGUAUCGUACGAAUAAGGAUCGUCUCACUUCGUGACAGCAGCCGCGGUAAUACGGAGGAUUUAAGCGUUAUCCGGAUUUAUUGGGUUUAAAGGGUGCGUAGGCGGUCUGAUUAGUUAGAGGUGAAAGCCCGAGGCUCAACUUCGGAAUUGCAUCUGAUACUGGUCGGCUAGAGAGUAGUUGCGGUAGGCGGAAUGCAUGGUGUAGCGGUGAAAUGCUUAGAGAUCAUACAGAACACCGAUUGCGAAGGCAGCUUACCAGGCUACUUCUGACGUUGAGGCACGAAAGCGUGGGGAGCAAACAGGAUUAGAUACCCUAGUAGUC